UGCUAUCUUUGAAAAGUUUGGAAUA
Molecule: microRNA, 25 nt
Filed under: Bombyx mori (domestic silkworm)
Lineage: Eukaryota; Metazoa; Arthropoda; Insecta; Lepidoptera; Bombycidae
Description: bmo-miR-3375-3p
Source: miRBase by way of RNAcentral